UUUCAUCGAUUGAAGCUUGGUCCGUUUCUUUCUUCCUUCUUCGAUCAGUGUUCUCUUGUUUUUUUUUUUUGCCUUUCCCUCUGUUGGACUGUCGGUUAGUGUCCUCCUUUUUUAUUUUUGGUUUACUUGACAUUACUUCGCAUCAAUCAAGUGUUGCAUGUGGGUAAUUUAUUUUAAUUUAUAGUUUUAUGUGCAGGAUUUUGAGAUUUUCACUUAAGGUUUGAAAUUUGCUUUUAGAAUUUAUAUUGAACUUUUAUUUCGAAGAUGGAACAGACAACUGAAAGUUUUGAAGCUCAGACAUGAAUAUUGACGAUUGAGUCAGAUAUUUCUGUACCGGUAGAGACUAGAUUGUCGUAAAAAAUCUCUCGACCAUUUCCAGUUUUAAGCUUCUUCUUCACUUUGGUCAAAUAUUGUAAGGUCUUCGCUAUUGGGUGCGGUUAUUUCUCACCAGUUUGUCUUUAACCUCUACUGUAUUUCUGAGUUUCGCGAGAGUUUUUCUUCUUAUAGUUAUUUUUUGGUACUUCUCCUUUUGUAAUAUUAAUUUCUUUUACAGUAUUGAUGUUCUUUAUGGAUGUCAUCUUAGCUUAGUGUUGGACUCAAAAUGAUCAAGAAAUAGUCAUUUAAUACUCUUGUUUGUCA
This is a long non-coding RNA of Lycium barbarum (goji berry), 639 nucleotides long. RefSeq lists it as uncharacterized. The transcript has 3 exons. NCBI's taxonomy places the organism in Eukaryota, Viridiplantae, Streptophyta, Magnoliopsida, Solanales, Solanaceae. The record is from RefSeq and is a predicted model, not a curated record.